Long non-coding RNA from Aedes albopictus (Asian tiger mosquito), 1493 nucleotides. RefSeq lists it as uncharacterized. Lineage: Eukaryota; Metazoa; Arthropoda; Insecta; Diptera; Culicidae. The record is from RefSeq and is a predicted model, not a curated record. The transcript has 3 exons.
UUAUCUCGCAACACUGUCGUAGUUGUAAUCGGUCAGCGCAAGCGAAGCAAGCUGCCAUUUUUGUUUUGCAAAUUUUGCAGUCGCAACUCGCAGUGGUUUUUCUUCCAUUAAAUUUAUUUACCUAAUAUAAUUCCAGUCUUGUUUUAUUGGCGCCAGCUUUUUUUCCGGGACGGCGGUCGACUGACUCUUCCGAAUCGCCAAAUCUGUCUCGGAGACAGCAUCGUUCUGGCCUACACCCGUGAAAGCGACAUUCCCAGUACAUAUAGGAAAAGUUCCCUUCCGGUGUUUGAAAACACGGCAACUCGUGCUGCUGCUGUGGACGACGAUGUGCCAAGGAAGUAUUCCCUGCCAUUAUUGCAACCACCAAGGCUCGUCUGUAAAAGUGAAUUAUUAUAACCCCCCAACCGGCCAUCUAAAAAAUCUAGCGGUGCCGUAUGGGCGAUGUCACAAAAUCUACCUCUUUCACCUCGGCCUAGGCAAGAGUAUGGCCAAGAAUGUAUGGCGAUAGGCGUAUUGUGCGGGGCCUAAGGAUUUUACCGCCCUGGAGGAUUACUACGAAGCAGUCGGCAUUCAAUCCGAGUGAUUUGCGAUUCUCUACAGAUACCGCCGAUGAAACCAAUUCCGGGAACACCGGGAAACUUUACGAGUUGGUUUGGAAACAACCGCAACAGCAACUGCAGCUUUUCCCCGGGAAUUAUUUCACCCGUUAUUCAGGAACUUCUCCAGGAACUAGUUCCACGGGAUGACCUCCAGGAGUUAUGGGAAUUUUCUUCAGAAUUUCCUGAUGGAUUCCCAAGAAAUUCUUCAGGAUAUUUUUAUGAAUUUCUCCGAAAGUAGGAUUCUAAAACUGACCCCCAGGGGAAUUUUUUGGACAGUUGCCCGGGUAGUUCAUACAAGAGUUCCCCGAAAAUUCCUCAAGUUCUUCAGAAACCUUUCCAGCUGUUACACGGGAUUCAUUCAGAAUUUUCUCCACGAGUUCCUCUGGAGUCCCUCCAGGGGUUCUCCAGAAAGUUUACGGGAAUCCGUACAAGAGUUCUUGCAGCAUUCUUAUGUAAAACUUCCUCCAAGUCCAAGAUUUUUCUGGGAAUUUUUAAAAUUUUUCCCUGGUAAUUCAUCCAUAUUUGAACCACCAGGAGUUCUCAAAGAUUCAUACAGCAUUUUUAUGGACAUCCCUUCGGGAUUUCCUUUGGAAUUCUCCGAUGAGUUUCACAGAAAGUCUUCCAAGAUUUGUUAAUUAAACCAGGAUUCUCCCAACGGUUUUUUUAGAAGUUCCCCGGGAAAUCCUCCCGGUAAUGCCCAAAAAAUUCAUUCCAGAAGCGAGUGCAGAAGGUACCCGUAAAUUUUCUCCAACACUUCCCCGGAAAUUCAUUGUUCCCCGGGAAUCUCCCCUGCAGUUCUUCCACUUCCACAGAAAUUUAUUCAAAUCAGAUGAUCCCAAUGAAUUGCCUCAGGGAGUUUCCCUGGAAUUCCUCCAUGGAUUCUCUGGGAAUAUU